UACAGAGGUCUCAAGCGUUGUUCGGAUUCAUUGGGCGUAAAGCGCGUGUAGGCGGCUUUGCAAGUCGGGUGUGAAAGCCCUCAGCUCAACUGAGGAAGUGCGCCCGAAACUGCAGAGCUUGAGUGCCGGAGAGGGUGGCGGAAUUCCCCAAGUAGAGGUGAAAUUCGUAGAUAUGGGGAGGAACACCGGUGGCGAAGGCGGCCACCUGGACGGUAACUGACGCUGAGACGCGAAAGCGUGGGGAGCAAACAGG
Molecule: ribosomal RNA, 253 nt
Filed under: uncultured bacterium
Lineage: Bacteria
Description: partial 16S ribosomal RNA
Rfam family: Bacterial small subunit ribosomal RNA
Source: RNAcentral